AGAGUUUGAUCCUGGCUCAGAACGAACGCUGGCGGCGUGGAUAAGACAUGCAAGUCGAGCGCUCAUCCGGUUGCAGCAAUGUAAACGGGUGGGAGCGGCGCAAGGGUGCGUAACGCGUGGGUAAUUUGCCAUGAAGUUGGGAAUAACUCGCUGAAAGGCGAGCUAAUGCCGAAUGUGGUUGCCUGGUGGAAUCACCGGGUUACUAAAGUUGGGGACCGAAAGGCCUGACGCUUCAUGAUAAGCCCGCGCCCUAUCAGCUAGUUGGUGAGGUAACGGCCCACCAAGGCUAAGACGGGUAGCUGGUCUGAGAGGACGACCAGCCACACUGGAACUGAGACACGGUCCAGACACCUACGGGAGGCAGCAGUGGGGAAUCUUGCGCAAUGGGCGAAAGCCUGACGCAGCAACGCCGCGUGGAGGAUGAAGGCCCUUGGGUUGUAAACUCCUGUCGGCUGGGAAGAAAUCGUGCGGUGCUCAUACCACCGUGCGUUGACUGUACCAGCAAAGGAAGCCCCGGCUAACUCUGUGCCAGCAGCCGCGGUAAUACAGAGGUCUCAAGCGUUGUUCGGAUUCAUUGGGCGUAAAGGGUGCGUAGGUGGCGUCGUAAGUCGGGUGUGAAAUUUCGGAGCUUAACUCCGAAACUGCAUUCGAUACUGCGGUGCUUGAGGACUGGAGAGGAGACUGGAAUUUACGGUGUAGC
Molecule: ribosomal RNA, 700 nt
Filed under: uncultured bacterium
Lineage: Bacteria
Description: bacterial SSU rRNA
Rfam family: Bacterial small subunit ribosomal RNA
Source: RNAcentral